AACUUAUUAUUAAAUUAAAAAAAAAAAUUACGACAAAAAAAAAUUCAACUGCUCGCUUUUUUCCACGAUCUAUAUUCCCCACUUCAUCACCUUUCCUCUUCAACAAUUGGAAAAAAACAUUAUUUCUUCCGCCUCUUACUUUGCCUCCCCUCUUCCCAUCAUUUCCUUCUUGGAUUCUAAUUCAUCUAUAGGGUUCAUAUUCCAAAUUCCAAUCUCCAAUUAUGCCGCUCAAUAUUACACCUAUCUCUCAAAUAACUCCAGUAAUUAAUCUUUGUAAAAUCAAGGUGAUAAGUGUUUGUCUUUGGGGAUUUCCACAAAAAGAUAAACCAGAGGAAUUCACAGGAAUGAAUUUUCUUCUUGUGGAUGAUAAGGUACAAUUUUGUGGGUCUUUCUAAAGUCUCAUUAAAAUCUGUGAUUUCAUGAUCUAUGUUAAGAUUUACUUAGAAGAAGGAUAAGUGAUGAGACUGAUAUAGAGCUCUGUUGUGCUAUUACAUUAUAGUUCUUACCAUCUCUAAA
This is a long non-coding RNA of Arabidopsis lyrata subsp. lyrata, 516 nucleotides long. RefSeq lists it as uncharacterized. Lineage: Eukaryota; Viridiplantae; Streptophyta; Magnoliopsida; Brassicales; Brassicaceae. The record is from RefSeq and is a predicted model, not a curated record. The transcript has 2 exons.